This 415-nucleotide ribosomal RNA is filed under the name uncultured Chloroflexota bacterium. RNAcentral describes it as "bacterial SSU rRNA". It matches the Rfam family "Bacterial small subunit ribosomal RNA", at positions 958 to 1385 of the family's 1533-position model. The record is from RNAcentral. Lineage: Bacteria; Bacillati; Chloroflexota.
AACGCGAAGAACCUUACCAGGGAUUGACAUGACGGUAGUAGUGAAGCGAAAGCGGAACGACCCUUCGGGGAGCCGUCACAGGUGAUGCAUGGCUGUCGUCAGCUCGUGCCGUGAGGUGUUUGGUUAAGUCCACUAACGAGCGCAACCCCUAGCGCCAGUUACAAGUGUCUGGCGCGACUGCCGGUAUUAAGCCGGAGGAAGGUGGGGAUGACGUCAAGUCAGCAUGUCCUUUAUACCCUGGGCGACACACACGCUACAAUGGCCAGCACAAUGGGUCGCCAAGCCGUGAGGCGGAGCCAAUCCUAAAAAGCUGGUCUCAGUUCGGAUUGCAGGCUGCAACCCGCCUGCAUGAAGUCGGAGUUGCUAGUAACCGCAGGACAGCUAUACUGCGGUGAAUACGUUCCCGGGCCUUGUA